GGUUCCACAGUGUAGUGGUUAGCACGUCUGCUUUACACGCAGAAGGUCCUGGGUUUGUGGCCCAGGUGGAGCUG
Non-coding RNA from Pteropus alecto (black flying fox), 74 nucleotides. NCBI's taxonomy places the organism in Eukaryota, Metazoa, Chordata, Mammalia, Chiroptera, Pteropodidae. The record is from Rfam.